ACCACUUAUAAUCCUUUAGCUACACUUUACCUAUCUGUCAUACUUAUCGUUUCUUGAUCCAGUACUAUACUUUCCAAAUUAACCACCUCUUUGAGGUAUCUUUCAAUGUGAGCCUCUAUUGCAGCUAUUGGCUUUGAUAUUGGCUCAGUCAUGGAUAUUGACUUAUUCUUUACGACUUAAGGUUAUCCUAAUUCUAUUCCUUUCUAACACCUACACACAAAAUUAUCUUGACUAGCAAAUAAUAAAUACACACAACACAUAAUAGUUUUAUAAGUUAUCUUUUAUUUUGUUCGACGAUGAAUUUAUUCAAUUCAUCUCCUUUUUAAACUCUACAUGAGUUAUUUAUAUUUUCAACGUUUCCCUUUGUUCUAAGGUUAUAGCCUAAGAUCUAACCCACCUAAGGUUUCUAAACCUAUAGCUCUGAUACCAUGAUGUAGAGUCCCCGAAUCCGGAUACUUGAAACCCAAACUCGGUACUUUAC
RNAcentral lists this long non-coding RNA (481 nucleotides) under Panax ginseng (ginseng). RNAcentral describes it as "long non-coding RNA (PGIN_LNC003509)". Lineage: Eukaryota; Viridiplantae; Streptophyta; Magnoliopsida; Apiales; Araliaceae. The record is from RNAcentral.